RNAcentral lists this ribosomal RNA (473 nucleotides) under uncultured organism. Its description in RNAcentral is "partial 16S ribosomal RNA". It matches the Rfam family "Bacterial small subunit ribosomal RNA", at positions 334 to 798 of the family's 1533-position model. The record is from RNAcentral.
CACUCCUACGGGAGGCAGCAGUGGGGAAUUUUGGACCAUGGGCGAAAGCCUGAUCCAGCAAUGCCGCGUGAGUGAAGAAGGCCUUCGGGUUGUAAAGCUCUUUUGUCAGGGAAGAAACGGUGAAAGCUAAUAUCUUUUGCUAAUGACGGUACCUGAAGAAUAAGCACCGGCUAACUACGUGCCAGCAGCCGCGGUAAUACGUAGGGUGCAAGCGUUAAUCGGAAUUACUGGGCGUAAAGCGUGCGCAGGCGGUUUUGUAAGUCUGAUGUGAAAUCCCCGGGCUCAACCUGGGAAUUGCAUUGGAGACUGCAAGGCUAGAAUCUGGCAGAGGGGGGUAGAAUUCCACGUGUAGCAGUGAAAUGCGUAGAUAUGUGGAGGAACACCGAUGGCGAAGGCAGCCCCCUGGGUCAAGAUUGACGCUCAUGCACGAAAGCGUGGGGAGCAAACAGGAUUAGAUACCCUUGUAGUCCCAU